UACGGACCAUCCAAACGUUAUUCGGAAUUCCUGGUCUUAAAGGGUGCGUAGGCGGCGCUGAAAGUUGGGUGUGAAAUCCCUUGGCUUAACCAAGGAAUGGCGCUCAAAACUACCGUGCUCGAGGAAGACAGAGGUGAGCGGAACUUAGGGUGGAGCGGUGAAAUGCGUUGAUAUCCUAAGGAACACCGGUGGCGAAAGCGGCUCACUGGGUCUUUUCUGACGCUGAGGCACGAAAGCCAGGGGAGCGAACGGG
Molecule: ribosomal RNA, 253 nt
Filed under: uncultured bacterium
Lineage: Bacteria
Description: partial 16S ribosomal RNA
Rfam family: Bacterial small subunit ribosomal RNA
Source: RNAcentral